GAAAGGUAAAACAUCAAUCCCGCCAUCGCUGGCGAGGUUUUUCGAACAGAGCACUUCGAGCGCACGCUCUCCAGAGAGAGGCUAGCGAUCGAUUCGAUUCCGGCUCGUGCAUCGUCGAUCGAUCGAAUCGCUCGAAAAGGUUGGAAUUCCAUGGGGGAUUGGGGCUUGGAGGAGGUAGAGAAAGCUCGGGGUUGCUGAGCUUGGCUCUCGAGUUCAGCUUCGACGAGCAGUCUGCUUGCAAGUGCUUGGACCAUCUCGUUUCGCUCUACGGUAACGCGAAUCAUUACGUCGAGUUAUGUAGCCCAUUUUUUAUGCUGAUUGGCCGUCGAAGCACUUGCUGGCAGACUGCUCGUCGAAGCUGAACUCGAGAGCCAAGCUCAGCAACCCCCGUGGUCCGUCCUCCAGCAACGCGGCGUCAAGGUCCGCGGAUCCGACGUGACGAAGGUCGAGAGUUUAUCACUGUAGAGCACUGUGGCAAUGACUUCCUAGCAGAACUUGAUGAAACCAUGCGAGAUUCUAAGGAUUGGGAUGAAUUGCAAGCUGUGGAAAUCAGAAACUUGUGGAGUUUUGACUGACAUGUUUGGCCAAGAUAUCGGUAGUGACGGUGAAUGCAAUAAUUUACAAGGUAUCGAUAUUGUAGAAGAUUCUCCACAACCUAAGAAAAACCAAACUUUUCUUGAGGUGAAGAUUCCUCUACUGAUAGUGAUGACGAAGACAAUAUAUUUUCAGUAAAAUAGGCAGGAAAUCUACAUGCUAUGUUCCUAACUAAAGCGGUACUCCGAGCGAUUCUUUCAUUCAACUUCUGGCCAGACAAUUUUUCAGAAUCCAUGGUAUGCUUCAACCAUGGACAUAGCCAAUACAUGCCAAACCACUUAAAUCACUAUGUCACUGUUAUUUUCUCAUAUAAUUUAUUCUCUGCUUGAUCAUUUGCAAUUUUGCUUGCAAUUUUGCACAUAGCAAAGGACCUACAUGAUGUACAUGUACAAAAGCAUUUAGUAAAUUUUUCUUGUGGUGCCUCUCAUCCAAUGAAAUGUCCAAUAGACAGUCAUAACUUUUGCCAAUUGCUUCCAAAAUAUUCGAGAUCCAAAAUGACAUAUUGGAACUCUUUGGUCAAUAAAGAAGUUGACUUUUGUUUUGGAAGAUGUACAAGUACCUAUUUUCUCAAAAUACUUUGAGAGUAUAGCAAAUCAUCAAAGUGUGGAACUCAGUGAUCAAGUGUCUUUGAUAGGAAUGUUUUGCAUAAAUGAAGGCUUGUAAUUUCUUUGUGCACAUUUUUUAUUUUCCAUGACAAUCCAUGUCAGAAACUAUUACGGUGCUAAAGAGGCUUAUUCCUGUUGAAGGACUGUAAGAGCACUGUCACUCAAGGUUCAAUAUCAGUUUCAAAUAAAAAUGGCCAAUGUUGUCAUAUUCAGAAAUAGAGCAUUUUGACCAAUGUGGCAUUAGGCAUGUAAAGCUUCUGUAGCCAAGCAAGAUUGCUUCAUUCUCAUGCCCACUGGAGGUGGUAAAAGUUUAUGUUACUAGGUUAGUGAAUGUUAACAUUAUUUCAUUUGCGCAAUGAUCGAAUGAAGACGUAAGUGUGGAGACAAUGUUUAGAGCACAAGCCCUGUGCACUUUGCUCAAUGGUUCCACUGAUUAAAUACUAGACAGAUAGACCUGUACAUUGAAAUUUUAAGCUUUUUAAUGAUCUUGUAAUCUGCUUUGUUAGCACUGUUGCAAAGUUUGUGCUUAAACUUAAGGAUGAAAAUAUUUUCCAAAUGCAAAUUAAGCUAAAGGAAGUGAUUCGGGUACAGAACCAUGGGUUCCAAUGUACAGGAUCUGACUAAGUUGGAAAAGAAUAUUAUAUUGGACAUUCUUGUUCUACCUUCGCACAUUUCUAUCUAUUCUGUGAUUUCUAGAAUUUGAGGUCUUUACUAUGCUUCUAGGACCUUCUAAUUACUUACUGAAAAAUUUAUCUUGUUUUUGCAUGUAAGUGUUGUUGUCAGUCAUAGUUAAGGUCCAAUUCAAAAGGGUUAUUAAGUCAAAGUUUUUAAAUUACUUGUGCCAAAUACAGAUUUAGAUCUCUAUAUUUCCUGCAGGUAUGUGCUAUGUUAUCAUCUCAACUGGGGUGAUCAUGUAAGAUGGAUCUUGGUAGCAUGCAACAUAUUUGAUCUACUGAAUCACGAAGGAAGAUAUUAAUCUGAAUUUAUUAAUUUAAGUUAUCCUGAAGUAUUUUCUGUUGAGUCUUGAAGUAGAUGAUAUAUGUUUCUAACUGAAGUAAAUAUAAGACAAACAGUGACAACUGGUGCUUUCUGAUCAGCCGAAGGUGAAUGAACGGAUAAUUCCCUCAUCCCAUCUUCUCUUCAUGUGCUCUUCUGAUGUUUUUACCCUUCGUUUCAGCUACCAACAACUCUUAAACCAGGUGUCACAUUUCAUUAUAUGUCCCCUGCUAUCUAUCAUCCAGGACAAAAUAAUUACUCUAACCCUCCAUAUGUUACAGUGGAUGCACAUUUUUUAUGUAUUUAAUGAAAAGGUUCAUGCCUAAGAUGUUUGCCUCAAAUAAAUUUUAGGAUCUUAGUGUUCCUAGAGAAGUAUAUCAUAGCAUACAAUCAUCAUUUUGCCAUAAAAUGUUGGGGUAUAAUUGUUGCUGUGAGGUUUCUAUUCGACUUCUAAAGCUUUUUUUUUGCUGACUGUUGUGAUUAUCAAGUCAUUAAUACAUAAAAAAUGUGCCUUUUCAGGAAAGCUAAUCCAUCAUGCAAGCUAUUGUAUGUAACUCCUGAAAGGACUGUGGGAAACCCAUCAUUUCUUGAGAUAUUGAAAUGCUUGCAUAGAAAGGUCUUUACUGGAUUUGUGCCGCCAGUGCCAUCUCAUGAAAGAAACAUACUGCUGUCCAUGGGGACGUGAAUUUUGUCCAAAUUAUAGAGGACUGGAAUGUCUCAAGCAAAACUUUCCAUAUGACCCUGUGAUGGCCUUAACUGCCACUGCCACCUGUUCGUGAGUAAUUAUAUUUUAUGGCAUGUCAUCAGCAUUUUGUCAUCCACAACACAAUGUCAAAGUCAAUCGAAAGCUAUUACCAAGAAUCGGGGAGGCAGGAAGAGAUCUACCAGCAAUUUUUCCACUUAACUUCUGGCCAGACGAUCUUUAGAAUCCAUGGCACAGCUAGCUGGUUUUGUUAUUGAUGAGGCACAUUAUGUGAGGAAUGUGUAAUAUUUGGCAUGCCUUGUACAUGAAGAAAGAUCAUGCUAGAGUUACUUCAAGAGGAAUAAUUAUUUGUGAUGUUGCCACUGGAAAACUGUUGUCCUUGUUCCUGAUAAAUAUAAGCAAGUUAACUUUUAUAUAUGCUAACUUAAACUCUUUUUCCAAACUUUUCUGCAUUUUCUGGGUUUCUAGCCUAAUUAAAUUGUCAGUGUUACACUAGACCCUCCAAAGCCCAGAACCCUAUUAAGUUCUAAUAUAACCAAAUGCAGUGUUCCUUGUUUGAUGAAAAGAUUUAGGUUCCGUCAUUUGGGAACACUUAGCGGCACAUCGUAUAUUAUAUUGAGUAAAGAGGACACAAUUUAAUAAAACUCCAAUGGAAAGUACUUCCUAGAGUAAUUGGAUCCAGCAUAAGCUUGGAUAAGGAUCCAAUCUCCUCUUUAUGUUUGGCAGGACACUCAGUCUCUUGAGUUGGUUCUUGUAUCCCUAUUUAUUCCAUUAACGCUUAUACUUUAUGUUAACAACUUGAGAAAGGCAAAGGUUCGACCAUGUGAUCAUUGAUUGUGUUUCUUGCAAUGUCUUAACUGGAUUUGCUCUGCCAGUUUGAUCUCAUGAAAGGAAAGUACUGCUGAUUUGAGCUUUUCUUGAUUUGACUGAUAACAUUGAAAGCUCAUUGAUUGUCACUUUCGUGGUUGUCAUUAAUGUAGUCUAUGAGGACAGGAUUUUCGUCCAGAUUACGGACUAGUAUGUCUCAAGCCUAACUUUGCAUAUGACCCAGUGAUGGCCUUAGCUGAAACUGCCACUCACUCAGUUCGUGAGGAUAUCCUAAAAUCUCUUGGGAUUCCCCAUGCUCUUGUUCUUGAGACAAGCUUUGACAGACUAAAUCUAAAAUAUGAGGUCAUAGCCAAGACCAAGGAACCACUGAAGCAGCUCGGAUAGCUGCUAAAGAAUCGUUUUGCUAAUUUGUGUGGCAUAGUAUAUUGCCUUUCAAAGAGUGAAUGCGUUGAUGUCGCAAAAUACUUGAAUAAGAAGUGAUGUAUAAAGACAGUGUACUAUCAUGUUAGAUUAGUAGCCCGCCAAAGGGUAGCUGUUCAAAAGAAAUGGCAAACUGAAGAGGUCCAAAUUGUAUGUUAUAAAAAGAAAUGGCAUACUAUCAUUCUCGUGUUAUCGACUAGCUAUAUUAUAAAUUAUAUAAUCAAUACAUUGA
Long non-coding RNA from Eucalyptus grandis, 4378 nucleotides. RefSeq lists it as uncharacterized. The record is from RefSeq and is a predicted model, not a curated record. NCBI's taxonomy places the organism in Eukaryota, Viridiplantae, Streptophyta, Magnoliopsida, Myrtales, Myrtaceae. The transcript is spliced from 7 exons.